GAUCAUGGCUCGGGAUGAACGCUGGCGGCACGCCUAACACAUGCAAGUCGAACGGAGUUAAGAGAGCUUGCUCUUUAAACUUAGUGGCGGACGGGUGAGUAACACGUGAGCAACCUGCCUUCAGAGAGGGAUAGCUUCUGGAAACGGAUGGUAAUACCUCAUAACAUAUUGGUACGGCAUCGUACUAAUAUCAAAGAUUUAUCGCUGAAAGAUGGGCUCGCGUCUGAUUGGCUGGUUGGUGAGGUAACGGCCCACCAAGGCAACGAUCAGUAGCCGGACUGAGAGGUUGAACGGCCACAUUGGGACUGAGACACGGCCCAGACUCCUACGGGAGGCAGCAGUGGGGAAUAUUGCACAAUGGGCGCAAGCCUGAUGCAGCGAUGCCGCGUGAGGGAAGAAGGUUUUCGGAUUGUAAACUCCUGUCUUAAAGGACGAUAAUGACGGUACUUUAGGAGGAAGCUCCGGCUAACUACGUGCCAGCAGCUGC
This 487-nucleotide ribosomal RNA is filed under the name uncultured bacterium. RNAcentral describes it as "bacterial SSU rRNA". It matches the Rfam family "Bacterial small subunit ribosomal RNA", at positions 15 to 518 of the family's 1533-position model. The record is from RNAcentral.